CUGCCUGCUGCCCGGCUGGCGAAAUGCAUGCACAGGGAGCCGGGCACCGCACACGAGGUCCCCAGCGCUGCCGGAGCCGCUCAGGAAAAUGAAGCAAUAUUCAUGAGCUGACCUCACCGGGCCGGGGAGAGGGAGGAGAGCAGCGGAGGGAAGAGAAAAGAAAAGAUGAGACGGCGAGGACCCCGCCCAGGCCUGAAGGCUGAUGACUGCUCCUCAGCCAGAGGCUGCUACAUCAUGGCACACUGAGGCUGCACCUUCUGUUCAUCCACGGCCUCAUACCCACAGAGGCCAACACAGGGACAGCGAUGCCAUCUGCACCCCCCCAACAAUUCACCCCAAUGAGAGAAGGAGGUCGUGCUGCUUUUUGUCACUAUGUAAAGGAAGCUGUUGGAUCUGAACCACUGCCUUCAGCCUUCACAUUUCUAAUGGACCUCUCAUUUCCCAGUUUAGGGAGUCUGCUUGUCAUGUGCCGUGUCAUACAGGUCUUGGUCUGUUCAGUCCUUGCAUUCCAACAGCUGGGCAGUUUCUCAGCCUCGCAGGGGUGACCAGGUACAAAAAAUGAAAUUAAGAUUAGAGGAUUCUUCAGAACACCUGGGCAGUUUCUCAGCCUCAUAGGGGUGACCGAGUACAAAAACGAAAUUAAGAUUAGAGGAUUCUUUGGCUUUGUCACUGGGGAAUAAAACUAGGUAAAAUUAGGUCUGUUGUUUAUUAGAACUCAAUUGUAGUCAUAAAAUAAAGGCUCGGUUCUAUUUUUGUUGUCCAACAUUUCAUUCAGGCUUUCUGAAGGCCGCAGGAAGUUUUAUGUCCUGCCUUUUAUUCCUUCAGAAAUCAAUUGUACCUAUUGUUUGGAAAUAAUGACAGAACUGAGCAUGCCUUGAAACAGGUCAGGGCAUCUCAACCAUUCCUAAUGAAAAAAUGACCUCAUGCAGGCUCCCUCUGCCUCUUCUGGACUUGCUAUACUUUCUGCUACCAGAAUGAUUUUUUU
Long non-coding RNA from Cygnus olor (mute swan), 985 nucleotides. RefSeq lists it as uncharacterized. The transcript has 2 exons. The record is from RefSeq and is a predicted model, not a curated record. Lineage: Eukaryota; Metazoa; Chordata; Aves; Anseriformes; Anatidae.